AGAGUUUGAUCCUGGCUCAGGACGAACGCUGGCGGCGUGCCUAAUGCAUGCAAGUCGCACGCAGGAGCUUCGGCUUCUGAGUGGCGCACGGCUGAGGAACACGUGGGAACCAGUCCUCCAGUGGGGGAUAACGGCGCGAAAGCGCCGCUAAUCCCGCAUACGUUCGCCCUGUUGAGGGGUGAGGAAAGCCGCAAGGCGCUGGAGGGUGGGCCUGCGGCCCAUCAGGUCGUUGGUGGGGUAAUGGCCUACCAAGCCACUGACGGGUAGCUGGUCUGUGAGGACAACCAGCCAGACUGGGACUGAGACACGGCCCAGACUCCUACGGGAGGCAGCAGCAAGGAAUUUUCGGCAAUGGGCGCAAGCCUGACCGAGCAACGCCGCGUGCAGGACGACGGCCUUCGGGUUGUAAACUGCUUUUGGGGGGGAAGAAACGGACGGUACCCCCCGAAUAAGCCACGGCUAACUCUGUGCCAGCAGCCGCGGUAAUAC
This 489-nucleotide ribosomal RNA is filed under the name uncultured bacterium. RNAcentral's name for it is "bacterial SSU rRNA". It matches the Rfam family "Bacterial small subunit ribosomal RNA", at positions 8 to 526 of the family's 1533-position model. The record is from RNAcentral.